UACGAAGGGGGCUAGCGUUGUUCGGAAUUACUGGGCGUAAAGCGCACGUAGGCGGAUUUGUUAGUCAGGGGUGAAAUCCCGGGGCUCAACCUCGGAAUUGCCUUCGAUACUGCAAGUCUUGAGUUCGGAAGAGGUGAGUGGAAUUCCUAGUGUAGAGGUGAAAUUCGUAGAUAUUAGGAAGAACACCAGUGGCGAAGGCGGCUCACUGGUCCGGUACUGACGCUGAGGUGCGAAAGCGUGGGGAGCAAACAGG
Molecule: ribosomal RNA, 253 nt
Filed under: uncultured bacterium
Lineage: Bacteria
Description: partial 16S ribosomal RNA
Rfam family: Bacterial small subunit ribosomal RNA
Source: RNAcentral